GAUGAAGAACGCAGCGAAAUGCGAUACGUAAUGUGAAUUGCAAAUUCAGUGAAUCAUCGAGUCUUUGAACGCACAUUGCGCCCCCUGGUAUUCCGGGGGGCAUGCCUGUCCGAGCGUCAUUGCUGCCCUCAAGCACGGCUUGUGUGUUGGGCCCCGUCCUCCGAUCCCGGGGGACGGGCCCGAAAGGCAGCGGCGGCACCGCGUCCGGUCCUCGAGCGUACGGGGCUUUGUCACCCGCUCUGUAGGCCCGGCCGGCGCUUGCCGAUCAACCCAAAUUUUUAUCCAGGUUGACCUCGGAUCAGGUAGGGAUACCCGCUGAACUUAAGCAUAUCAAUAAGCGGAGGA
RNAcentral lists this unclassified non-coding RNA (345 nucleotides) under soil metagenome. RNAcentral's name for it is "partial contains 5.8S ribosomal RNA, internal transcribed spacer 2, and large subunit ribosomal RNA". The stretch from base 1 to 119 matches the Rfam family "5.8S ribosomal RNA", at positions 35 to 154 of the family's 154-position model. The record is from RNAcentral.